UGCGUAGGGUCCGAGCGUUGUCCGGAAUUACUGGGCGUAAAGAGCUCGUAGGUGGUUUGUCGCGUUGUUCGUGAAAACUCACAGCUCAACUGUGGGCGUGCGGGCGAUACGGGCAGACUGGAGUACUGCAGGGGAGACUGGAAUUCCUGGUGUAGCGGUGGAAUGCGCAGAUAUCAGGAGGAACACCGGUGGCGAAGGCGGGUCUCUGGGCAGUAACUGACGCUGAGGAGCGAAAGCGUGGGGAGCAAACAGG
This 253-nucleotide ribosomal RNA is filed under the name uncultured bacterium. Its description in RNAcentral is "partial 16S ribosomal RNA". It matches the Rfam family "Bacterial small subunit ribosomal RNA", at positions 524 to 776 of the family's 1533-position model. The record is from RNAcentral.